This 400-nucleotide ribosomal RNA is filed under the name phytoplankton environmental sample. RNAcentral describes it as "partial small subunit ribosomal RNA". It matches the Rfam family "Eukaryotic small subunit ribosomal RNA", at positions 587 to 986 of the family's 1831-position model. The record is from RNAcentral.
AGCUCCAAUAGCGUAUAUUAAAGUUGUUGCAGUUAAAAAGCUCGUAGUUGGAUUUGGGACGGGGGUCGCGCGGUCGGCCGCAAGGUCUGCUACUGUGCGGCCUCGUCAUUUACACUCUCGGAGACCCGUCGUGCACUUCGCUGUGCGCGGCGCGGGACUCGGGACGUUUACUUUGAAAAAAUUAGAGUGUUCAUAGCAGGCAGGCCGCCUGAAUAAUGUUGCAUGGAAUAAUAGAAUAGGACCUCGGUUCUAUUUUGUUGGUUUUCGGAAUUGAGGUAAUGAUUAAUAGGGACGGACGGGGGCAUUCGUAUUACGGUGUUAGAGGUGAAAUUCUGGGAUCAUCGUAAGACGAACUACAGCGAAAGCAUUUGCCAAGAAUGUUUUCAUUAAUCAAGAACGA